GCAAGUCGAGCGGUAGCACAGGAGAGCUUGCCCUCUGGGUGACGGGCGACGGGCGGGUGAGGAAUGUCUGGGAUACUGCAUGAUGGAGGGGGAUAACUACUGGAAACGGUAGCUAAUACCGCAUAACGUCUUCGGACCAAAGUGGGGGACCUUCGGGCCUCACGCCAUCAGAUGUGCCCAGAUGGGAUUAGCUAGUAGGUGGGGUAAUGGCUCACCUAGGCGACGAUCCCUAGCUGGUCUGAGAGGAUGACC
This 252-nucleotide ribosomal RNA is filed under the name uncultured bacterium. RNAcentral describes it as "partial 16S ribosomal RNA". It matches the Rfam family "Bacterial small subunit ribosomal RNA", at positions 57 to 305 of the family's 1533-position model. The record is from RNAcentral.